AUUGAACGCUGGCGGCAUGCUUUACACAUGCAAGUCGAACGGUAACAGGUUAAGCUGACGAGUGGCGAACGGGUGAGUAAUGCAUCGGAACGUGCCCGGUCGUGGGGGAUAACGCAGCGACAGCUGCGCUAAUACCGCAUACGAUCUGAGGAUGAAAGCGGGGGACCGUAAGGCCUCGCGCGAUCGGAGCGGCCGAUGUCAGAUUAGGUAGUUGGUGGGGUAAAGGCGCACCAAGCCGAGGAUCUGUAGCGGGUCUGAGAGGACGACCAGCCACACUGGGACGGAGACACGGCCCAGACUCCUACGGGAGGCAGCAGUGGGGAAUUUUGGACAAUGGGCGCAAGCCUGAUCCAGCAAUGCCGCGUGCAGGAAGAAGGCCUUCGGGUUGUAAACUGCUUUUGUACGGAGCGAAAAGGCUCUCUCUAAUACAGGGGGCUCAUGACGGUACCGUAAGAAUAAGCACCGGCUAACUACGUGCCAGCCGCCGCAGUAA
Molecule: ribosomal RNA, 493 nt
Filed under: uncultured bacterium
Lineage: Bacteria
Description: partial 16S ribosomal RNA
Rfam family: Bacterial small subunit ribosomal RNA
Source: RNAcentral